CCAAACUCCUACGGGAGGCAGCAGUGGGGAAUAUUGCACAAUGGGGGAAACCCUGAUGCAGCGACGCCGCGUGGAGGAAGAAGGUCUUCGGAUUGUAAACUCCUGUUGUUGAGGAAGAUAAUGACGGUACUCAACAAGGAAGUGACGGCUAACUACGUGC
Molecule: ribosomal RNA, 160 nt
Filed under: uncultured bacterium
Lineage: Bacteria
Description: partial 16S ribosomal RNA
Rfam family: Bacterial small subunit ribosomal RNA
Source: RNAcentral